UACGUAGGGUGCAAGCGUUGCCCGGAUUUAUUGGGCGUAAAGGGCGCGUAGGCGGCUCGGCACGUCCGUUGUGAAAUCGCCCGGCUCAACUGGGCGGGGUCAGCGGAUACGGCCGAGCUUGAGCAAGCUAGGGGGCAAUGGAAUUCCCGGUGUAGUGGUGGAAUGCGUAGAUAUCGGGAGGAACACCAACGGCGAAAGCACUCUGCUGGGCCGACACUGACACUGAGAGACGAAAGCUAGGGGAGCGAAUGGG
RNAcentral lists this ribosomal RNA (253 nucleotides) under uncultured bacterium. RNAcentral describes it as "partial 16S ribosomal RNA". It matches the Rfam family "Bacterial small subunit ribosomal RNA", at positions 524 to 776 of the family's 1533-position model. The record is from RNAcentral.